CGAAGGGGGCUAGCGUUGCUCGGAAUUACUGGGCGUAAAGGGAGCGUAGGCGGGUUAUCAAGUUGGAGGUGAAAGCCCAGGGCUCAACCUUGGAAUUGCCUUCAAAACUGAUAGCCUAGAGUAUGGAAGAGGUAAGUGGAACUCCGAGUGUAGAGGUGAAAUUCGUAGAUAUUCGGAAGAACACCAGUGGCGAAGGCGACUUACUGGUCCAUGACUGACGCUGAGGCUCGAAAGCGUGGGGAGCAAACAGGAUUAGAUACCCUGGUAGUCCACGCUGUAAACGAUGAUUGCUAGUUGUCGGGCGGCAUGCCGUUCGGUGACGCAGCUAACGCAUUAAGCAAUCCGCCUGGGGAGUACGGUCGCAAGAUUA
RNAcentral lists this ribosomal RNA (370 nucleotides) under uncultured organism. RNAcentral describes it as "bacterial SSU rRNA". It matches the Rfam family "Bacterial small subunit ribosomal RNA", at positions 526 to 896 of the family's 1533-position model. The record is from RNAcentral.